GGAAAUUGGAAUGGCUUAUUGACCACAUGUGUUUUUUAUUGAACAAAUUUCUUUGGUGGCGGGAGCAAUCCUACCGCCAGAGGUUAUAACUAAACCAAACUUUUUAUUUACAGUCAAACUUGAUUUAUUAUUACAAUAGUCAAAACUUUCAACAACGGAUCUCUUGGUUCUCGCAUCGAUGAAGAACGCAGCGAAAUGCGAUACGUAAUAUGAAUUGCAGAUAUUCGUGAAUCAUCGAAUCUUUGAACGCACAUUGCGCCCUUUGGUAUUCCAAAGGGCAUGCCUGUUUGAGCGUCAUUUCUCCCUCAAACCCCCGGGUUUGGUGUUGAGCAAUACGCUAGGUUUGUUUGAAAGAAUUUAACGUGGAAACUUAUUUUAAGCGACUUAGGUUUAUCCAAAAACGCUUAUUUUGCUAGUGGCCACCACAAUUUAUUUCAUAACUUUGACCUCAAAUCAGGUAGGACUACCCGCUGAACUUAAGCAUAUCAAUAGCCCGGAGGAA
Molecule: ribosomal RNA, 502 nt
Filed under: Candida tropicalis
Lineage: Eukaryota; Fungi; Ascomycota; Pichiomycetes; Serinales; Debaryomycetaceae
Description: eukaryotic LSU rRNA
Rfam family: 5.8S ribosomal RNA (bases 144-297)
Source: RNAcentral